RNAcentral lists this transfer RNA (67 nucleotides) under Drabescus ineffectus. RNAcentral describes it as "tRNA-Ser". Lineage: Eukaryota; Metazoa; Arthropoda; Insecta; Hemiptera; Cicadellidae. The record is from RNAcentral.
AAGAGAGUAGGUAAUAGGAAUAGCUGCUAACUAAUUCUUAAAGCGGUUUAACUCCGUUUUUCUCUUU